UAUACGACCGUACCGCAAACCGACACUGGUGCGCGAGAUGAGUAUUCUAAGGCGCUUGAGAGAACUCAGGAGAAGGAACUCGGCAAAUUGACACCGUAACUUCGGAAGAAGGUGUGCCCUAUUAGUGUGUAGUGAACAACGAAGCAUGAAUGGGUUGCAAAAAAUCGGUGGCUGCGACUGUUUAUUAAAAACACAGCACUCUGCAAACACGAAAGUGGACGUAUAGGGUGUGACGCCUGCCCGGUGCUGGAAGAUUAAAUGAUGGGGUGCAAGCUCUUGAUUGAAGUCCCAGUAAACGGCGGCCGUAACUAUAACGGUCCUAAGGUAGCGAAAUUCCUUGUCGGGUAAGUUCCGACCUGCACGAAUGGCGUAACGAUGGCCACACUGUCUCCUCCUGAGACUCAGCGAAGUUGAAAUGUUUGUGAUGAUGCAAUCUCCCCGCGGAAAGACGGAAAGACCCCAUGAACCUUUACUGUAGCUUUGUAUUGGACUUUGAACAGAUCUGUGUAGGAUAGGUGGGAGGCUUUGAAGCAGGGUCGCUAGAUCUUGUGGAGCCAACGUUGAAAUACCACCCUGGUGUGUUUGAGGUUCUAACCUAGGUCCAUUAUCUGGAUCGGGGACAGUGCAUGGUAGGCAGUUUGACUGGGGCGGUCUCCUCCCAAAGCGUAACGGAGGAGUUCGAAGGUACGCUAGUUACGGUCGGACAUCGUGACGAUAGUGCAAUGGCAUAAGCGUGCUUAACUGCGAGACUGACAAGUCGAGCAGAUGCGAAAGCAGCACAUAGUGAUCCGGUGGUUCUGUAUGGAAGGGCCAUCGCUCAACGGAUAAAAGGUACUCUGGGGAUAACAGGCUGAUACCGCCCAAGAGUUCAUAUCGACGGCGGUGUUUGGCACCUCGAUGUCGGCUCAUCUCAUCCUGGGGCUGCAGCCGGUCCCAAGGGUAUGGCUGUUCGCCAUUUAAAGAGGUACGUGAGCUGGGUUUAAAACGUCGUGAGACAGUUUGGUCCCUAUCUUCCGUGGGCGCUGCAGAUUUGAGGAAGCCUGCUCCUAGUACGAGAGGACCGGAGUGGACACACCUCUGGUGUAUCGGUUGUCACGCCAGUGGCAUUGCCGAGUAGCUAAGUGUGGAAGAGAUAACCGCUGAAAGCAUCUAAGCGGGAAACUCGUUUCAAGAUGAGAUCUGCCGGGGCCUUGAGCCCCCUAAAGAGUCGUUCAAGACCAGGACGUUGAUAGGUCAGGUGUGGAAGCG
This 1248-nucleotide ribosomal RNA is filed under the name metagenome. RNAcentral describes it as "bacterial LSU rRNA". It matches the Rfam family "Bacterial large subunit ribosomal RNA", at positions 1635 to 2875 of the family's 2925-position model. The record is from RNAcentral.